RNAcentral lists this ribosomal RNA (1359 nucleotides) under Bacillus anthracis (anthrax bacterium). RNAcentral describes it as "partial 23S ribosomal RNA". It matches the Rfam family "Bacterial large subunit ribosomal RNA", at positions 178 to 1531 of the family's 2925-position model. Lineage: Bacteria; Bacillati; Bacillota; Bacilli; Caryophanales; Bacillaceae. The record is from RNAcentral. RNAcentral also lists the same sequence under 1 other name.
GACAGACCCAGGGAACUGAAACAUCUAAGUACCUGGAGGAAGAGAAAGCAAAUGCGAUUUCCUGAGUAGCGGCGAGCGAAACGGAACAUAGCCCAAACCAAGAGGCUUGCCUCUUGGGGUUGUAGGACAUUCUAUACGGAGUUACAAAGGAACGAGGUAGACGAAGCGACCUGGAAAGGUCCGUCGUAGAGGGUAACAACCCCGUAGUCGAAACUUCGUUCUCUCUUGAAUGUAUCCUGAGUACGGCGGAACACGUGAAAUUCCGUCGGAAUCUGGGAGGACCAUCUCCCAAGGCUAAAUACUCCCUAGUGAUCGAUAGUGAACCAGUACCGUGAGGGAAAGGUGAAAAGCACCCCGGAAGGGGAGUGAAAGAGAUCCUGAAACCGUGUGCCUACAAAUAGUCAGAGCCCGUUAACGGGUGAUGGCGUGCCUUUUGUAGAAUGAACCGGCGAGUUACGAUCCCGUGCGAGGUUAAGCUGAAGAGGCGGAGCCGCAGCGAAAGCGAGUCUGAAUAGGGCGUUUAGUACGUGGUCGUAGACCCGAAACCAGGUGAUCUACCCAUGUCCAGGGUGAAGUUCAGGUAACACUGAAUGGAGGCCCGAACCCACGCACGUUGAAAAGUGCGGGGAUGAGGUGUGGGUAGCGGAGAAAUUCCAAUCGAACCUGGAGAUAGCUGGUUCUCCCCGAAAUAGCUUUAGGGCUAGCCUUAAGUGUAAGAGUCUUGGAGGUAGAGCACUGAUUGGACUAGGGGUCCUCAUCGGAUUACCGAAUUCAGUCAAACUCCGAAUGCCAAUGACUUAUCCUUAGGAGUCAGACUGCGAGUGAUAAGAUCCGUAGUCAAAAGGGAAACAGCCCAGACCGCCAGCUAAGGUCCCAAAGUGUGUAUUAAGUGGAAAAGGAUGUGGAGUUGCUUAGACAACUAGGAUGUUGGCUUAGAAGCAGCCACCAUUUAAAGAGUGCGUAAUAGCUCACUAGUCGAGUGACUCUGCGCCGAAAAUGUACCGGGGCUAAAUACACCACCGAAGCUGCGGAUUGAUACCAAUGGUAUCAGUGGUAGGGGAGCGUUCUAAGGACAGUGAAGUCAGACCGGAAGGACUGGUGGAGUGCUUAGAAGUGAGAAUGCCGGUAUGAGUAGCGAAAGACGGGUGAGAAUCCCGUCCACCGAAUGCCUAAGGUUUCCUGAGGAAGGCUCGUCCGCUCAGGGUUAGUCAGGACCUAAGCCGAGGCCGACAGGCGUAGGCGAUGGACAACAGGUUGAUAUUCCUGUACCACCUCUUUAUCGUUUGAGCAAUGGAGGGACGCAGAAGGAUAGAAGAAGCGUGCGAUUGGUUGUGCACGUCCAAGCAGUUAGGCUGAUAA